Molecule: ribosomal RNA, 430 nt
Filed under: Acidobacteriota bacterium
Lineage: Bacteria; Pseudomonadati; Acidobacteriota
Description: Acidobacteria bacterium partial 16S ribosomal RNA
Rfam family: Bacterial small subunit ribosomal RNA
Source: RNAcentral
UGGGGAAUAUUGGACAAUGGGCGCAAGCCUGAUCCAGCCAUGCCGCGUGUGUGAAGAAGGCCUUUUGGUUGUAAAGCACUUUAAGCGAGGAGGAGGCUACUUGGAUUAAUACUCUAGGAUAGUGGACGUUACUCGCAGAAUAAGCACCGGCUAACUCUGUGCCAGCAGCCGCGGUAAUACAGAGGGUGCGAGCGUUAAUCGGAUUUACUGGGCGUAAAGCGUGCGUAGGCGGCUUCUUAAGUCGGAUGUGAAAUCCCUGAGCUUAACUUAGGAAUUGCAUUCGAUACUGGGAAGCUAGAGUAUGGGAGAGGAUGGUAGAAUUCCAGGUGUAGCGGUGAAAUGCGUAGAGAUCUAGAGGAAUACCGAUGGCGAAGGCAGCCAUCUGGCCUAAUACUGACGCUGAGGUACGAAAGCAUGGGGAGCAAACAGG